This 429-nucleotide long non-coding RNA is filed under the name Pan troglodytes (chimpanzee). RNAcentral describes it as "long non-coding RNA NONPTRT006857". The record is from RNAcentral. Lineage: Eukaryota; Metazoa; Chordata; Mammalia; Primates; Hominidae.
CUGUCUAUUCAGAAGGUUGGCUAAUUAGAACCUAGGUAAAGAAGGUCUUUGUAAAGAACUGAAAUGUGCAAACAGAGUCCAGAAACAAAGAUUCAUGCUCCAGAUAUUGCUUCGAAUAAGAAAACAGAGCGGUAAAGAAAACAAUCUAGACAUAAUCCUAUCAAGGUAUUUUAUGGAAUAAUUUUGGUGUUGAUUUUGGAAUUAGAUGUUGAUUUUGGAAUUAUAUGUUUAUCUGGUUGUUCCUCUAUGGGGAAUAAUUUAUUACUCAAUGACUAUAGGGUGGUGUUGAGUCAUAAGUAUCAUGAUGAUAUUCUAAAACCAGGGGCAGAGGCAAGUCUCAGGUUUGACUUUGUUUCCUAAGGGCAGGGGCAGUGUCUAUGAAUCAAUAGCUGCCAUGAGUGUUUCUGUACACUCUGUAGGUGCUCAGUA